AUAACAACCACCUGUGCAGCCUCAUGGCCCUGCACAACCUCCUGACCACAGCGAUGGAAUAAAGUGGUCCAGUCAGGGGCAUUUUCAGCCUCUGGGGAUGUUGAUAUAGUAACUCCUCCUCUUUUCCCAUACCCUGAAAAAAUGCAGCCCAAGAAGCUGCCGAUGUUCUUACAGCUGUGAGGGGAGGGGCUGCCCAAGGAGAGAGGUAACCUAGAGUUGAGAGAUGGAGGAAGAGAUACAGAAUCUGGAUGGCUAUGCUCUGAUCCUGUAAUCCGACUAUGCCUGAAUGUGGAUCUACUUUCCAAAGGACUUCUCCAGCUCCAUUUACAGUCUGGCUCCUGGGCCUUUGGAUCCCAGCAGUGUCUGAGCAGGAGCUCAAAGGACAGCCCCACCAUGGGGGAUCAGCCCUAGAAGCUGUCACUACAUCUCCAAUGGACGCAACUAUUUUCCAGGAACACCAGGGGAGAGAGCCAACAACAGCACAGUGGCCCCGGACCGUGACCCUUGGACUGAAGGAACCUACAGAUGUGGUUUUUUUGGUGACAUUUUACAUGCAACUCCAGAUUUCAAACUCUUUUGGAGAAGCAGGCAAUCUGGCAACAGUCGUUUUGGAUUCUCAGAAGGCAAUAAAGAACAGCUGCCACCUUCCGAGGGGCAUGGUGGGUGCCCUGUUCUGCCAGAAUUGCCAACACGCCUAUCGUCUUGGACUUGCCCAAGGUGUCGCAGUUAGAGACUGCCUCCCUUAUUCACGCUCCUGCCUGGUGCCCGUGGGCUUGAAUUUGCUCCCCUUGGAGUGGGGUGAGGCUCUGCAGACACUUCUCAUACAUGUCCCCUGCAGACAGCAAGCUCCUGGAACACAAGUCACAUGCAUUUCAUUUCCUGCUGUCUUGCUACCACCCAACAUGGGCUCUCAAUACAUGUUGAAGGCAAGGAUCAAUGAAUAAAUGGGCAACUAUCAGCUGUAGACUUGAAUGUGCCAGCAGGUGAAUGAGCUUCCUGCCCGUAGGAGAAAGGGUCAAAUCACAAGGUGGUGCCCUUGUCUCCAAAUCUCAAGGUCCUCUGGAUGGCAGGCAAGCUGGUUUUCUGUUCUCCCUUCCCCGGUCUUCUCUUGCCUGGUCUUAUUACAAGGUGUGCUAAGCCUCAUAAGGACAGUUGAAGAGAAAAGAAGUGAGACUGUGCUAGUGGCUAUAGAAUUCUGCCAGGAGAGCUGGAGGUGGGGAGGAAGUCUAUGAAUUCAACCAUGCCAAUAAUUUCAGUCGAAAAUUAAGAAAAAGCCCAUCUCCGCCCCCUUUUCGGUUAUCAAAUAUGCAUUGUUUUCCUCUUUUGUUGGGCUUUUGUGUCUGUUUCAUUCUCACCUUGACUCAGCCCCUGUGAGCUUCAACUCUAAGCCUAACUCCAGCCACGGAGAAACCAUGGAGAGGUUUGUCCAGUGUCUAGAAGAUGGACUGACUGCUGAAACAGGAGCAAGAAGAACCUCCUAGCAGGUCAGACAUACCCAAAGACAGCCACAUGGAAAUGGACACUGUUGCAAGGACGUGUGUCCAGCAGAGCAGGGGCAAAUGCCCCUGGUGCUAUAACUCCUUAAAGGCUCAAAUAUCUCUGCUGACCCAGUGAGUGCCCCUCAGCUUGUGGUGUGAGACUGAACUUAUAGACACCACCUCAACUCGAGGAAUUCAAUGCAGUGAUGAGCUGAUUUAUGGUGUUUGCCAAUUCCUGUGGUGUAAAUAACUCAUCUCAUGGCCAGUUUCAGGCUACCAAUGUGAAGUCACUGAACCCAAAGUUUGGAAGAGAUUUACAUAACAGUGGACAUAGUUACUGGGCUUCAUAGAGAAAGCUACUAAACACAAGUGCCCCUGGGGUCCAGAAAUCAACUUCUGGUUGGAACUGACCUAUAUGGUGCCAAGUGUGCAUCUUCUAGGAGGACACUAGCAUUAGCAUGUCAUCCUCCAGUCUUGCAACAAGCCUUUUCUGUAAGAGCCUUUGACUAACAUUUGUUGAAUUUUGUAUUCACUGGGGGCUGGACGUGGUGACUUAUGCCUGUAAUCCCAGCACUUUGGGAGGCCGAGGUGGGCAGAUCACUUGAGGUCAGGGGUUCAAGACUAGCCUGGCAAACAUGGCUAAACCUUGUCUCCACUAAAAAUACAAAAAUUAGCCAGGCGUGGUGGCACACGCCCAUAGUCCCAGCUACUUGGGAGGCUGAGGCAGGAGAAUCACUUGAACCCAGGAGGCAGAGGUUGCAAUGAGCCGAGAUUGUGCCACUGCACUCCAGCCUGGGUGACAGAGUGAGACUCCAUCUGAAAAAAACAAAACAAAACAAAACAAAACAAAUUUUGUAUUCAUUGAGCCAACUAAUUUAUUGAUUUUUCAUUAAAUUUUUUUUUUCUUGAGAUAGAGUCUCACUCUGUCACCUAGGCUGGAGUACAGUGGUAUGAGCUUGGCUCACUGCAAUCCCCGCCGCCUGGGCUCCAGCGAUCCUCCCACCUCACCAUCCUUAGUAGCUGGGAACACAGGCACGCACCAUCACACCCAGCUAAUUUUUGUAUUUUUUGUAAAGACAGGGUCUCACUGUGUUGCCCAGGAUGGUCUUGAACUCUUGGGCUCAAGCGAUCUACCUGCCUUGGCCUCCCAAAGUGCUGAGAUUACAGGCACGAGCCUCUGCGCCUGGCCUUGAUUUUUCUGAGUGCUAUGAAAGAAAUAAGCAAUUAUUAUGGGUUUUCCUCCUUUAGGAUUAAUGAGUCAGUGAAGGGCCAGAAGAAGGGUCCCUUGUAGAAAGUUGGGCAAUAUUUACACGUCAUAAUGAGGAGAGAGGCCAUUUCUCUUACUGUGUCUUGUCUCUGAAGAGAAGGAGGAAGUAAAACUUGAAAAACAACAGGAAUGAAGUCAGUGGCAAGACCAGCCAGUGCCACUGAUGACCAGGCCUGAGGUUAAAAGAUUAACCCCCGACUCUAACCGCAUGUGCUCUCAAUCUAUCACGACCCUUUCACAUGGAACCCCUUAGAGUUGUAAGGCCUUAAAAGGGCAGGGAACUCUGGCUUCCUGGAGCUCGGUUCUUGAGUCUGCCAAAACUCCCCGCCGUUGAGACGCGAGUCUGCCGAGGCUCACAGCCCAAUAAAGCCAAAUCCUUCGUAA
Molecule: RNA transcript, 3129 nt
Organism: Pan troglodytes (chimpanzee)
Lineage: Eukaryota; Metazoa; Chordata; Mammalia; Primates; Hominidae
Exons: 5
Source: RefSeq, a predicted model, not a curated record